GGUGCCUCCCGCCUCUCCUCCCCCAGACCUGGGGCGGUAAGUCUCCCAACCCACCGCCAGGACGCCUCCCCGAGGCCUCAGUCCGCACUCUCACCCGCUCCAGGAGGUGCAGGUGAAGGUGAUGGAGGCUGCGGAGGAGCUGGACGCCUGGCAGAGUGGCCGGGAACUGUAAGGGAGUUGGGCUUGCGGGCGCGGCGGGGCACUGUGGGGCCGGGCCGGGCUGGGCUCCCACCUGCAUGCCUGUCCCCGCAGGUGUGACGGGCAGCUUCGCAGAGUGCAGUACAGCACCGAGUCGCUCAUGGAGGAGAUGGCCAGGGCGGACCGAGAGACGCGGCUGUUCGGCGGUCCUCGCGCGCUGGCCAUCAGGCGCUGCUGACGCUGCCGCUCCUCUUCCUGGGGCUGUCGCUGCUCUGGACGGUGCUGUUGGACCCCGGCGCCGUCUCCGCGUGGCUCUGGAGCCUCACCUCGGAGACGACGCUGCGCCGCCUGCGCUACACGCUGUCCCCGCUGCUGGAGCUGCGCGCUAACGGGCUGCUGCCAACCUAAGUGCAGCGCCCCGCGCCUGGCUCCAGGUGGACUCCAGGGCACCGGCUUUAUUUCUGGUGCACUCCUCU
Molecule: long non-coding RNA, 614 nt
Filed under: Homo sapiens (human)
Lineage: Eukaryota; Metazoa; Chordata; Mammalia; Primates; Hominidae
Description: non-protein coding lnc-SERPIND1-1:61
Source: RNAcentral